GUGUGGGAACAACUGGAAGCAGCGAAGGGGGCGGGGCACCGAGGGACCCAGGCCUGGCUCCCACCCACAGCUGAGCCGGUUCUCUCCAGUGCUAAGCCCCAGCUCUGGCCCCAGGACGAUCUCCUCCCUGCACACCCCUUACCCAGGAAUCAGGGAGCCAGACAGGGGGAGGGGCAGACAGGGACCCUUUUCACGGACCCCUCCCAUUUGGGUUCAGGCCCUCCCACACUCCCGGCUAGCAUCCUCUCCUUUGUUCUCUUCUUGCCCCACCCGCCCUCCAGCGGGGUGAGGUGGGGGUGCGGGAAUUAACCCACCGAGGUGCUGCCCUAUUUGCGCCCUUCAGCCUUUUACGUGUAAGGGGGAUGUUGGAGGAGCAGCUGGCAGCUUCCCUGCCUCCAGGCUCCUCAGCUUCUGGGCCAAGAAAGGCCAAACUCUUCACCUGCCCCUCCCUGGCAUAACCAGCCCACAAUGAGCACCCAGCACCCUCACCCACACCCCUCCCCCGACACUCCAGCAGCCCUCUGGAAUCUUCUCUCACCUCCUAGACACACACACACAGAGGCACCUCCGGGAGGCUCUGGCCAGGCCUGGGUGUGGCAGGAUAGAAAUGAAAGUUGUCCUGGCAACACACAAGAUUUCAUCAACAUUUCCAUCCCCAGCAGCUCCUGGGCCAAGCCUCAUCUUGCCCAGUGUGGCCUGUCAAGAUGACGGCCUGGAAGAGAAGCCAGACUGGGCAGCCAGGCCUCUGCCCCUCCCCUUGCCUGGUGGCACAGCCAGCACUGGCUCACUGGGAAAGCUCACAACUCCUCACAGCGAUCUGGUAUCUUGAGCGUCAGUUUCUGGCCGAAACUGGGGGCUCCUGACUGAACUCCCUCCCACCUAGAAAACCUUCUGUGCAGUCUGAUUGCUCCAACACCCACAGAGCAGGAUUCAGGUAUCCCGGAGACCUUGGGAGGUCCCCAUCCAGAGGUCUGCUGUCCUGCCAGGCUUGGGGCAGCAGGGACUGGGACCCCACUCAGACCUCUCUGGGGCAAAUGUUUUGGUUCUCACAACAGCCCUAGUGAAAUCAAUCCUAGAUACUCCCAUUUGGUCCCACCAAGGCCAUUUAAUUUCUCUGUAAAGGGUAAGAUGACACAAAAGAGCCAACUAUGGAAACGGUGAGGUGGGAGUCUGAACCGAUUUAGCUGUUCUCAGGGCGCACAGGGUGUUGACGGUGGUUUUCAUCUGCCACCUGCCUCCUUGAGACCCAGCUGGCCUGAGUGUGCACGAAAUGGGACCUUCUCCUUGGGUCCACCAGGCUGGGAGGCACCCCUAGGUACCCGGCUCCUCAUCACAGCGGCAGCCCUCUCGGUUCCACAUCUGGUUCUCCUGACGAAGCCGCUGGUUUUCGGUCCGGAGCCUCUGGACCUCGGCAGCCAGCUCCUCCACCUGGCGGCAGGACUGCUGGCCGGUGCACGCCUGCAGCUGCUGCAGCCUCCUAGUCUCCUCCUCCGCCUGCGACAGCCGCUUCUCCAGCUCCAGGUAGUCUCGCACCAGCUCCUGCUUGCUGCGGCCCUGCAGGCUCUCGGUGUGGAAGCGUUCGUAAGUCUCAGAGAAGUCCUUCCGCUGGAACUCACCGUGCGCUCGGCCCCGCCCAUCACUGUCCCCGGCCUCACUCUCCCCACUGGAACCUGGGUGGGAGAUCCCAUGGGGCACAUCCAAGUUGGGCUCCUCCGGGUCCCUGUCAUUCAUCAGGAACUGGGUGGUGUUGUAGGGGGCCACGGGCUGGCCUUUGGCGAACAUCUCUUCGCGGACCCGGGAGGCCCUCUGGCUCUGCCUCUCAUCCCGCUGUUGUUUCUCAGCCCAGCUCAGCUCCAGGUAGGGUCGCCAGUGCCUUUUGCGCUUCGAUGGCCGCCGACGGUGUUUCUUCCGGGCCAGCACAGCCUCCGCUGAGCAGCCCCCUGGGCUCUGGGUCCGGGGACUCCUACUGUUCCAGCCCAGGCCACCGACAGCCCCAGCAAGAUCUUCAUCCUCUGAGUGGCUCUCCAUCCGCGGUGUCAGGGGCAGGGAACCACCAGAGUCAUGACGCUCAGGGGGUGUUUGGGGGCUCCCCGGGGCACCAGAGGUCUAAAGAGAGGGAGGAGGAAGAAGGAUGGAUCAGACAGCCUGUCCUUGGAGGUGGAACCUUUCCCUCUCUACCUAGCCUGAAGCCUACCUUCCUACACUCAGCUAACUUGGUCACUCUUAGCCCCUCAACCUUUUGGAACCAUUUGUUUACAAAGAGACCUGUCUACUGUCUGUCCCCCAACCUUCCCCAAGUAAACUCAUGGUGAGAGCAGGAAUU
This 2323-nucleotide long non-coding RNA is filed under the name Homo sapiens (human). RNAcentral's name for it is "HSALNT0241317". The record is from RNAcentral. Lineage: Eukaryota; Metazoa; Chordata; Mammalia; Primates; Hominidae.